Molecule: ribosomal RNA, 253 nt
Filed under: uncultured bacterium
Lineage: Bacteria
Description: partial 16S ribosomal RNA
Rfam family: Bacterial small subunit ribosomal RNA
Source: RNAcentral
UACGUAGGGUGCGAGCGUUAAUCGGAAUUACUGGGCGUAAAGCGUGCGCAGGCGGUUUUGUAAGCCGGAUGUGAAAUCCCCGGGCUUAACCUGGGAAUGGCAUUCGGGACUGCAAGGCUGGAGUGCGGCAGAGGAGACUGGAAUUCCUGGUGUAGCAGUGAAAUGCGCAGAUAUCAGGAGGAACACCGAUGGCGAAGGCAGGUCUCUGGGCUGACACUGACGCUCAUGCACGAAAGCGUGGGGAGCAAACAGG